UUCGGUCAAAGAGAAAACUAUGAAAGCGGCGGACGGGUGAGUAACGCGUGAGCAACCUGCCCUGUACAGGGGGAUAGCCACUGGAAACGGUGAUUAAUACCCCAUAACCCCACAGGAUCGCAUGGUCUAAUGGGGAAGCCUUGGCGGUACAGGAUGGGCUCGCGUCUGAUUAGCUAGUUGGUGAGGUAACGGCUCACCAAGGCGACGAUCA
This 211-nucleotide ribosomal RNA is filed under the name uncultured bacterium. RNAcentral describes it as "partial 16S ribosomal RNA". It matches the Rfam family "Bacterial small subunit ribosomal RNA", at positions 68 to 282 of the family's 1533-position model. The record is from RNAcentral.